GGUCGGGAUAGCUCAGCUGGUAGAGCAG
This 28-nucleotide transfer RNA is filed under the name Leucophyllum hintoniorum. Its description in RNAcentral is "partial tRNA-Phe". The record is from RNAcentral. Lineage: Eukaryota; Viridiplantae; Streptophyta; Magnoliopsida; Lamiales; Scrophulariaceae.